AGUCUUAUAUUCAAUAAUGAUUUUAGAUUGCAAAUCUAAAGGUAAAGUUAAUCUUUUAAGGCUU
Molecule: transfer RNA, 64 nt
Filed under: Neoneuromus fenestralis
Lineage: Eukaryota; Metazoa; Arthropoda; Insecta; Megaloptera; Corydalidae
Description: tRNA-Cys
Source: RNAcentral